RNAcentral lists this long non-coding RNA (302 nucleotides) under Homo sapiens (human). RNAcentral's name for it is "non-protein coding lnc-NCOR2-1:1". The record is from RNAcentral. Lineage: Eukaryota; Metazoa; Chordata; Mammalia; Primates; Hominidae.
GAACUCUCUGGGCCCCUGCGAUGUAGGUUGCCUAAGGCAGCUGUCUUGGGAGUGAUGCUGGAGUUUGGAUCAUAUUCCAUGCGCCCGUGGCUCCAAAUGCCCAUCAUUCCUCAGUACUGGGCAAAGGUUGUUCAGCCUCAGGUGAAGUGAGACAAAGAAGGACGUCAAGAGGUUUUGCUGGGUUUGAUGGGUUUCAUCUGGGACGGGUUACAAUGCAUUUUGUGUAAUCAUCUCUUUUCAUUAAGUGGCAGGCAUUGUAGAUACAGUUCAGUCAUUCUUUUUUAUGGCAUGUUUAGUUGGCA